This 301-nucleotide ribosomal RNA is filed under the name uncultured bacterium. RNAcentral describes it as "partial 16S ribosomal RNA". It matches the Rfam family "Bacterial small subunit ribosomal RNA", at positions 509 to 807 of the family's 1533-position model. The record is from RNAcentral.
CAGUCGCCGCGGGAAUACAGAGGGUGCGAUCGUUAAUCGGAUUUACUGGGCGUAAAGCGUGCGUAGGCGGCUUCUUAAGUCGGAUGUGAAAUCCCUGAGCUUAACUUAGGAAUUGCAUUCGAUACUGGGAAGCUAGAGUAUGGGAGAGGAUGGUAGAAUUCCAGGUGUAGCGGUGAAAUGCGUAGAGAUCUGGAGUAAUACCGAUGGCGAAGGCAGCCAUCUGGCCUAAUACUGACGCUGAGGUACGAAAGCAUGGGGAGCAAACAGGAUUAGAGACCCGUGUAGUCCCUGUAUCUUAUAC